GAUGAAGAACGUAGCGAAAUGCGAUACUUGGUGUGAAUUGCAGAAUCCCGUGAACCAUCGAGUUUUUGAACGCAAGUUGCGCCCGAAGCCGUUAGGCCGAGGGCACGCCUGCCUGGGUGUCACACAUCGUUGCCCCAAUGCCAAUCGCCUCACUUUGUAGGUAUUUGCUUGGGGUGAAUGUUGGCCUCCCGUGCGCCUCGCCGCGCGGUUGGCAUAAAUACCAAGUCCUCGACGACGCACGCCACGACAAUCGGUGGUUGCGAAACCUCGGUUGCCCGUCGUGUGCGUUCGUCGCGCAUCGAGGGCUCGAAAAAAUGCUCGGCUCCGGCUCGGCUUUCAACGCGACCCCAGGUCAGGCGGGGUUACCCGCUGAAUUUAAGCAUAUCAAUAAGCGGAGGA
Molecule: unclassified non-coding RNA, 399 nt
Filed under: soil metagenome
Description: partial contains 5.8S ribosomal RNA, internal transcribed spacer 2, and large subunit ribosomal RNA
Rfam family: 5.8S ribosomal RNA (bases 1-122)
Source: RNAcentral